Molecule: small nucleolar RNA, 80 nt
Filed under: Egretta garzetta (little egret)
Lineage: Eukaryota; Metazoa; Chordata; Aves; Pelecaniformes; Ardeidae
Description: Small nucleolar RNA MBII-202
Rfam family: Small nucleolar RNA MBII-202
About the family: MBII-202 is a member of the C/D class of snoRNA which contain the C (UGAUGA) and D (CUGA) box motifs. Most of the members of the box C/D family function in directing site-specific 2'-O-methylation of substrate RNAs.
Source: Rfam by way of RNAcentral
GAUGAGAAAUCUCCGGAAUCGCUGUACCCCCUUGAUGAUUCCCUUGAACCCACUGUAUCUGAUGACUGCGGCUGUUGUGU